GGGUUGUGAGGUUAAGCGACUAAGCGUACACGGUGGAUGCCCUGGCAGUCAGAGGCGAUGAAGGACGUGCUAAUCUGCGAUAAGCGUCGGUAAGGUGAUAUGAACCGUUAUAACCGGCGAUUUCCGAAUGGGGAAACCCAGUGUGUUUCGACACACUAUCAUUAACUGAAUCCAUAGGUUAAUGAGGCGAACCGGGGGAACUGAAACAUCUAAGUACCCCGAGGAAAAGAAAUCAACCGAGAUUCCCCCAGUAGCGGCGAGCGAACGGGGAGCAGCCCAGAGCCUGAAUCAGUGUGUGUGUUAGUGGAAGCGUCUGGAAAGGCGCGCGAUACAGGGUGACAGCCCCGUACACAAAAAUGCACAUGCUGUGAGCUCGAUGAGUAGGGCGGGACACGUGGUAUCCUGUCUGAAUAUGGGGGGACCAUCCUCCAAGGCUAAAUACUCCUGACUGACCGAUAGUGAACCAGUACCGUGAGGGAAAGGCGAAAAGAACCCCGGCGAGGGGAGUGAAAAAGAACCUGAAACCGUGUACGUACAAGCAGUGGGAGCCUCUUUAUGGGGUGACUGCGUACCUUUUGUAUAAUGGGUCAGCGACUUAUAUUCUGUAGCAAGGUUAACCGAAUAGGGGAGCCGAAGGGAAACCGAGUCUUAACUGGGCGUUAAGUUGCAGGGUAUAGACCCGAAACCCGGUGAUCUAGCCAUGGGCAGGUUGAAGGUUGGGUAACACUAACUGGAGGACCGAACCGACUAAUGUUGAAAAAUUAGCGGAUGACUUGUGGCUGGGGGUGAAAGGCCAAUCAAACCGGGAGAUAGCUGGUUCUCCCCGAAAGCUAUUUAGGUAGCGCCUCGUGAAUUCAUCUCCGGGGGUAGAGCACUGUUUCGGCAAGGGGGUCAUCCCGACUUACCAACCCGAUGCAAACUGCGAAUACCGGAGAAUGUUAUCACGGGAGACACACGGCGGGUGCUAACGUCCGUCGUGAAGAGGGAAACAACCCAGACCGCCAGCUAAGGUCCCAAAGUCAUGGUUAAGUGGGAAACGAUGUGGGAAGGCCCAGACAGCCAGGAUGUUGGCUUAGAAGCAGCCAUCAUUUAAAGAAAGCGUAAUAGCUCACUGGUCGAGUCGGCCUGCGCGGAAGAUGUAACGGGGCUAAACCAUGCACCGAAGCUGCGGCAGCGACGCUGAUGCGUUGUUGGGUAGGGGAGCGUUCUGUAAGCCUGCGAAGGUGUGCUGUGAGGCAUGCUGGAGGUAUCAGAAGUGCGAAUGCUGACAUAAGUAACGAUAAAGCGGGUGAAAAGCCCGCUCGCCGGAAGACCAAGGGUUCCUGUCCAACGUUAAUCGGGGCAGGGUGAGUCGACCCCUAAGGCGAGGCCGAAAGGCGUAGUCGAUGGGAAACAGGUUAAUAUUCCUGUACUUGGUGUUACUGCGAAGGGGGGACGGAGAAGGCUAUGUUGGCCGGGCGACGGUUGUCCCGGUUUAAGCGUGUAGGCUGGUUUUCCAGGCAAAUCCGGAAAAUCAAGGCUGAGGCGUGAUGACGAGGCACUACGGUGCUGAAGCAACAAAUGCCCUGCUUCCAGGAAAAGCCUCUAAGCAUCAGGUAACAUCAAAUCGUACCCCAAACCGACACAGGUGGUCAGGUAGAGAAUACCAAGGCGCUUGAGAGAACUCGGGUGAAGGAACUAGGCAAAAUGGUGCCGUAACUUCGGGAGAAGGCACGCUGAUAUGUAGGUGAAGCGACUUGCUCGUGGAGCUGAAAUCAGUCGAAGAUACCAGCUGGCUGCAACUGUUUAUUAAAAACACAGCACUGUGCAAACACGAAAGUGGACGUAUACGGUGUGACGCCUGCCCGGUGCCGGAAGGUUAAUUGAUGGGGUUAGCGGUAACGCGAAGCUCUUGAUCGAAGCCCCGGUAAACGGCGGCCGUAACUAUAACGGUCCUAAGGUAGCGAAAUUCCUUGUCGGGUAAGUUCCGACCUGCACGAAUGGCGUAAUGAUGGCCAGGCUGUCUCCACCCGAGACUCAGUGAAAUUGAACUCGCUGUGAAGAUGCAGUGUACCCGCGGCAAGACGGAAAGACCCCGUGAACCUUUACUAUAGCUUGACACUGAACAUUGAGCCUUGAUGUGUAGGAUAGGUGGGAGGCUUUGAAGUGUGGACGCCAGUCUGCAUGGAGCCGACCUUGAAAUACCACCCUUUAAUGUUUGAUGUUCUAACGUUGACCCGUAAUCCGGGUUGCGGACAGUGUCUGGUGGGUAGUUUGACUGGGGCGGUCUCCUCCUAAAGAGUAACGGAGGAGCACGAAGGUUGGCUAAUCCUGGUCGGACAUCAGGAGGUUAGUGCAAUGGCAUAAGCCAGCUUGACUGCGAGCGUGACGGCGCGAGCAGGUGCGAAAGCAGGUCAUAGUGAUCCGGUGGUUCUGAAUGGAAGGGCCAUCGCUCAACGGAUAAAAGGUACUCCGGGGAUAACAGGCUGAUACCGCCCAAGAGUUCAUAUCGACGGCGGUGUUUGGCACCUCGAUGUCGGCUCAUCACAUCCUGGGGCUGAAGUAGGUCCCAAGGGUAUGGCUGUUCGCCAUUUAAAGUGGUACGCGAGCUGGGUUUAGAACGUCGUGAGACAGUUCGGUCCCUAUCUGCCGUGGGCGCUGGAGAACUGAGGGGGGCUGCUCCUAGUACGAGAGGACCGGAGUGGACGCAUCACUGGUGUUCGGGUUGUCAUGCCAAUGGCACUGCCCGGUAGCUAAAUGCGGAAGAGAUAAGUGCUGAAAGCAUCUAAGCACGAAACUUGCCCCGAGAUGAGUUCUCCCUGACUCCUUGAGAGUCCUGAAGGAACGUUGAAGACGACGACGUUGAUAGGCCGGGUGUGUAAGCGCAGCGAUGCGUUGAGCUAACCGGUACUAAUGAACCGUGAGGCUUAACCUUACAACGCCGAAGGUGUUU
Molecule: ribosomal RNA, 2932 nt
Filed under: Escherichia coli
Lineage: Bacteria; Pseudomonadati; Pseudomonadota; Gammaproteobacteria; Enterobacterales; Enterobacteriaceae
Description: 23S ribosomal RNA
Rfam family: Bacterial large subunit ribosomal RNA
Source: RNAcentral